CCCAGACUCCUACGGGAGGCAGCAGUGGGGAAUAUUGCACAAUGGGGGAAACCCUGAUGCAGCGACGCCGCGUGAGUGAAGAAGUAAUUCGUUAUGUAAAGCUCUAUCAGCAGGGAAGAAAAUGACGGUACCUGAGUAAGAAGCCCCGGCUAACUACGUGCCAGCAGCCGCGGUAAUACGUAGGGGGCAAGCGUUAUCCGGAUCUACUGGGUGUAAAGGGAGCGUAGACGGCGAUGCAAGUCUGAAGUGAAAGCCCGGGGCUCAACCCCGGGACUGCUUUGGAAACUGUAUGGCUGGAGUGCUGGAGAGGCAAGCGGAAUUCCUAGUGUAGCGGUGAAAUGCGUAGAUAUUAGGAAGAACACCAGUGGCGAAGGCGGCUUGCUGGACAGUAACUGACGUUGAGGCUCGAAAGCGUGGGGAGCAAACAGGAUUAGAUACCCCAGUAAC
This 447-nucleotide ribosomal RNA is filed under the name uncultured bacterium. RNAcentral describes it as "bacterial SSU rRNA". It matches the Rfam family "Bacterial small subunit ribosomal RNA", at positions 330 to 794 of the family's 1533-position model. The record is from RNAcentral.